GACGAACGCUGGCGGCGUGCUUAACACAUGCAAGUCGAGCGAGGCCCUUCCUUCGGGAAGGUGCCCUAGCGGCGAACGGGUGAGUAACACGUGGGCAACCUGCCCUCAGCUCUGGGGAUAACCCCGGGAACCGGGGCGUAAUACCGGUAUACGACCACAGUGGGCAUCCGCUUGUGGUGGAAAGAUUUAUCGGCUGAGGAUGGGCCCGCGGCCUAUCAGCUAGUUGGUGAGGUAACGGCCCACCAAGGCAACGACGGGUAGCCGCCUGAGAGGGCGACCGGCCACACUGGGACUGAGAC
RNAcentral lists this ribosomal RNA (299 nucleotides) under uncultured bacterium. RNAcentral's name for it is "partial 16S ribosomal RNA". It matches the Rfam family "Bacterial small subunit ribosomal RNA", at positions 28 to 325 of the family's 1533-position model. The record is from RNAcentral.